CUCUACUAAAAAUACAAAAACUAGCCGGGUGUGGUGGCGGGUGCCUGUAGUCCCAGCUACUCAGGAGGAUGAGACAGGAGAAUCACUUAAAAACCCCUGGGAAGAUUGUUGAAGGACACCAGCUGUGGAAUUUGUGGCUUUGGCAGAUUGAAAUCAUGGCAGGUCCAGAAAGUGAUGCGCAAUACCAGUUCACUGGUAUUAAAAAAUAUUUCAACCCUUACACUCUCACAGAGAAUGAAUUAUGUACUGGCCACAUAUGGAAGCUUUGCUUUGUCUUAUAUUUCAAGUUAAGGUUCAAAAAAACUCCAGCUGUGAAAGCAACAUAAAUGGAUUUUAAACUGUCUACGGUUCUUAACCUCAUCUGUUAAGUUCCCAUGCCUGGAGAAGCUAAUGCUAACUCAUCAUGUGAUAAUUCAAUUUGUACAAUAAAUUAUGAAUCUGGAAAAAAAAACAAAAAA
Non-coding RNA from Chlorocebus sabaeus (green monkey), 458 nucleotides. The record is from RefSeq and is a predicted model, not a curated record. NCBI's taxonomy places the organism in Eukaryota, Metazoa, Chordata, Mammalia, Primates, Cercopithecidae.